This 843-nucleotide ribosomal RNA is filed under the name uncultured Flavobacteriaceae bacterium. Its description in RNAcentral is "bacterial SSU rRNA". It matches the Rfam family "Bacterial small subunit ribosomal RNA", at positions 38 to 873 of the family's 1533-position model. Lineage: Bacteria; Pseudomonadati; Bacteroidota; Flavobacteriia; Flavobacteriales; Flavobacteriaceae. The record is from RNAcentral.
AGCGGCAGGCCUAAUACAUGCAAGUCGAACGGUAACAUUGGUGCUUGCACCAGAUGACGAGUGGCGCACGGGUGCGUAACGCGUAUGCAACCUACCUUUUACUAGAGUAUAGCCCAGAGAAAUUUGGAUUAAUCCUCUAUAACAUCUUUUAAUUUCAUGAUUUUAAGAUUAAAGUUUUAACGGUAAAAGAUGGGCAUGCGUCCUAUUAGUUUGUAGGUGAGGUAACGGCUCACCUAGACUACGAUAGGUAGGGGCCCUGAGAGGGGGAUCCCCCACACUGGUACUGAGACACGGACCAGACUCCUACGGGAGGCAGCAGUAAGGAAUAUUGGACAAUGGACGAAAGUCUGAUCCAGCCAUGCCGCGUGCAGGAUGACAGCCCUACGGGUUGUAAACUGCUUUUAUACAGGAAGAAACACUCCGACGUGUCGGAGCUUGACGGUACUGUAAGAAUAAGGAUCGGCUAACUCCGUGCCAGCAGCCGCGGUAAUACGGAGGAUCCAAGCGUUAUCCGGAAUCAUUGGGUUUAAAGGGUCCGCAGGCUGUUUUUUAAGUCAGAGGUGAAAUCCUACAGCUCAACUGUAGAACUGCCUUUGAUACUGGAAAACUUGAGUUAUUGUGAAGUGGUUAGAAUGUGUGGUGUAGCGGUGAAAUGCAUAGAUAUCACACAGAAUACCGAUUGCGAAGGCAGAUCACUAACAAUAUACUGACGCUCAUGGACGAAAGCGUGGGGAGCGAACAGGAUUAGAUACCCUGGUAGUCCACGCCGUAAACGAUGGAUACUAGCUGUUCGUCUAACAUUGGUUAGAUGAGUGGCUAAGCGAAAGUGAUAAGUAUCCCACC